AACAUUACUUGCUCUGAUAUCAUUAGUUGCUAGUUACUUCACUUCUUUUAUUUGUUCUAUCUCCUGCUUUACUUCCGCUUUUAUUGUAGACGCCUUAUAUGUGUAGACAUAUGGCGGGUCUGGGCACGCUACCGGGAGGGCCUUCGCCGGUCCCGGGGCGUGACAGAUUAAUUUGGUAUCAGAGCCUAGGGUUGAGUCUUAGUGGACCUAGCGAACCUUAGGCCGGUUGGACUAUAGGAAUUAGGCUCGUGAGAGACGAGGUCUAAUUGACUUGUGAGCGAAAGUAUUAUGAUUGGGUUUAUGACAACUCUAAAAAGUUAGAGUUUGAUCGGAGUGUAUGGCUUCUAACUUCGCGGAGGGUUACGUUGGUGGCCGACAACGUAACAUCGGGAGUUAGUAGUGAAGGACACUUCCUUACUUUAGCAUGAUUUGGGGUUUUAUCUAUUUUGAGCGGGGAUGCGAUAGCGUGGGUUACUAACUUGCGCUUUUAUGUUUUGUAGUGACGAUGCCGAUCACACGCUCCUAGUCUGCCGGGGCGGAUGAUGCGGCACACCCCGAGGAGGUCGAGACCUCCGCUACUUCCGGAUCUAGUGAGGUCCGCGACUUGAGGGCCCAGCUUGCUGUUCUCACUGAUCUGUUGGCGCAGCAG
RNAcentral lists this long non-coding RNA (649 nucleotides) under Ananas comosus (pineapple). RNAcentral describes it as "long non-coding RNA (ACOM_LNC042963)". Lineage: Eukaryota; Viridiplantae; Streptophyta; Magnoliopsida; Poales; Bromeliaceae. The record is from RNAcentral.